This 465-nucleotide ribosomal RNA is filed under the name uncultured bacterium. RNAcentral describes it as "partial 16S ribosomal RNA". It matches the Rfam family "Bacterial small subunit ribosomal RNA", at positions 28 to 507 of the family's 1533-position model. The record is from RNAcentral.
GAUGAACGCUGGCGGCGUGCUUAACACAUGCAAGUCGAACGGAAAGGCUCCUGCUUGCAGGGGUACUCGAGUGGCGAACGGGUGAGUAACACGUGGGUGAUCUGCCCUGCACUUCGGGAUAAGCCUGGGAAACUGGGUCUAAUACCGGAUAGGACGAUGGUUUGGAUGCCAUUGUGGAAAGUUUUUCGGUGUGGGAUGAGCUCGCGGCCUAUCAGCUUGUUGGUGGGGUAAUGGCCUACCAAGGCGUCGACGGGUAGCCGGCCUGAGAGGGUGUACGGCCAGAGGGGGACAGAAAUACGGACGAGAGUCCUACGGGAGGGAGCAGGGGGGAAGAGUGCACGAUGGGCGCAAGUCUGAAGCAGCGAGGCCGCGUGGGGGAUGACGGCGUGCGGGUGGUAAGAUCAUCACGCUAGGGAAGAAGCGCAAGGGAGGGGACCUUGAUAAGAAGAACCGACUAGCCAAGUA